UACGAAGGGGGCUAGCGUUGCUCGGAAUUACUGGGCGUAAAGGGAGCGUAGGCGGAUAGUUUAGUCAGAGGUGGAAGCCCAGGGCUCAACCUUGGAAUUGCCUUUGAUACUGGCUAUCUUGAGUACGGAAGAGGUAUGUGGAACUCCGAGUGUAGAGGUGAAAUUCGUAGAUAUUAGGAAGAACACCGGUGGCGAAGGCGGCCCACUGGUCCGGUACUGACGCUGAGGUGCGAAAGCGUGGGGAGCAAACAGG
RNAcentral lists this ribosomal RNA (253 nucleotides) under uncultured bacterium. Its description in RNAcentral is "partial 16S ribosomal RNA". It matches the Rfam family "Bacterial small subunit ribosomal RNA", at positions 524 to 776 of the family's 1533-position model. The record is from RNAcentral.